ACAGGGAUUGCCCUAGUAACGGCGAGUGAAGCGGCAACAGCUCAAAUUUGAAAUCUGGCCUCGGCCCGAGUUGUAAUUUGCAGAGGAUGUUUCUGGCGCGGUGCCUUCCGAGUUCCCUGGAACGGGACGCCAAAGAGGGUGAGAGCCCCGUAUGGUCGGACACCAAGCCUGUGUGAAACUCCUUCGACGAGUCGAGUAGUUUGGGAAUGCUGCUCUAAAUGGGAGGUAAAUCUCUUCUAAAGCUAAAUACCGGCCAGAGACCGAUAGCGCACAAGUAGAGUGAUCGAAAGAUGAAAAGCACCUUGAAAAGGGGGUUAAAUAGUACGUGAAAUUGUUGAAAGGGAAGCACUUAUGACCAGACUUGGGCCGGGCGGCUCAUCAGGGGUUCUCCCCUGUGCACUCCGCCCGGCACAGGCCAGCAUCGGUUCUCGUGGGGGGAUAAGACCGUCAGGAACGUAGCACCCUCCGGGGUGUGUUAUAGCCUGGCGGACGAUACCCUCGUGGGGACCGAGGUUCGCGCUCCGCAAGGAUGCUGGCGUAAUGGUCAUCAGUGACCCGUCUUGAAACACGGACCAAGGAGUCGUCCAUUAGAGCGAGCGUUUGGGUGUAAAACCCGCACGCGUAAUGAAAGUGAACGCAGGUGAGAGCUUCGGCGCAUCAUCGACCGAUCCUGAUGUUCUCGGAAGGAUUUGAGUAAGAGUUUUAACGGACGGACCCGAAAGACAGUGAACUAUGCUUGUAUAGGGUGAAGCCAGAGGAAACUCUGGUGGAGGCUCGCAGCGGUUCUGACGUGCAAAUCGAUCGUCAAAUAUGAGCAUGGGGGCGAAAGACUAAUCGAAC
This 840-nucleotide ribosomal RNA is filed under the name Diaporthe rudis. Its description in RNAcentral is "eukaryotic LSU rRNA". It matches the Rfam family "Eukaryotic large subunit ribosomal RNA", at positions 68 to 940 of the family's 3401-position model. Lineage: Eukaryota; Fungi; Ascomycota; Sordariomycetes; Diaporthales; Diaporthaceae. The record is from RNAcentral.